UUUCUAGAUAGUCUCAGGUAGAAGUUUGGUUACCAGAAAGCCAAAACAUGGAAUUAGAGAGUCAAACUUUCAACCUUAUCUUCUGACUUCUCAGGGAGAAAAAGGGGCCUGGAGACUGGAUUGAAAGAACCCUUGAACAAGGAAGUUUGAAGAAUCUUCAGGAUUAAUUAAGUAACCCAGCCUUGACCUAGCAGCAUUGGGACAUAUGAGCAACUGAAGCCUGCUGACCUCAUGCCUCUGUCCAGAAGCAACUGAUGACUAUUGCCUUAGAUGCUGACUUCAGCUCCCAUCAUCUCAAUUUUCUUGGAACUGGAAGACUUUGUGCGUUAAAGUUCUAGGAUCCUGAAGAAGGGCUUCUCUCAUAUCCAGCAAAAAGGAGGCUAGUGAUUGUUUUUUGACAUCUAAGCCCUAUAUUGCAGUGAACCCUCUGAACAAUUCAUGAGAUACAUAUUAGGCUUUUAGUAAGAAGGGAAUAAGGUCU
Molecule: long non-coding RNA, 481 nt
Filed under: Oryctolagus cuniculus (rabbit)
Lineage: Eukaryota; Metazoa; Chordata; Mammalia; Lagomorpha; Leporidae
Description: lncRNA (ENSOCUG00000031851.1)
Source: RNAcentral